Molecule: long non-coding RNA, 290 nt
Organism: Pseudophryne corroboree (corroboree frog)
Lineage: Eukaryota; Metazoa; Chordata; Amphibia; Anura; Myobatrachidae
Exons: 3
Source: RefSeq, a predicted model, not a curated record
CGCUGAUGCUGGUGUAUAUCUCUCUGCUAGCCUGCAUGAUGACCUGCUCCAAUAUCACAGCAGCAGCGAUCCCAGCAGUCUCCUCUCCCUCGACCUUAAGACAUGGGGGCACAAAAUUCGAACUUGCCUCCGGGAGACAGGGAUGAACUUACGCCACUGCACAGAGGACAUGCUGCUCCAGAUCCUGCCAGCCAGACUGAUAAGAAUCCAUAUGAAAGCCUCCUACCCGGUCCUUAAGGUGAUCGACUUAACACUAGUGGAGUUAAACCAGUUCAUCUUCUCUGGGUAAU